UACAGAGGGUGCAAGCGUUGUUCGGAAUUAUUGGGCGUAAAGCGCGCGUAGGCGGCUUUGCAAGUCGGGUGUGAAAGCCCUCAGCUCAACUGAGGAAGGGCGCCCGAAACUGCAGAGCUUGAGUGCCGGAGAGGGUGGCGGAAUUCCCCAAGUAGAGGUGAAAUUCGUAGAUAUGGGGAGGAACACCGAUAGCGAAGGCAGCUUACUUGACUGUAACUGACGCUGAUGCACGAAAGUGUGGGGAUCAAACAGG
Molecule: ribosomal RNA, 253 nt
Filed under: uncultured bacterium
Lineage: Bacteria
Description: partial 16S ribosomal RNA
Rfam family: Bacterial small subunit ribosomal RNA
Source: RNAcentral